Molecule: ribosomal RNA, 267 nt
Filed under: uncultured bacterium
Lineage: Bacteria
Description: partial 16S ribosomal RNA
Rfam family: Bacterial small subunit ribosomal RNA
Source: RNAcentral
UGGCGACCGGCGCACGGGUGAGUAACGCGUAUCCAACCUGCCCUUUACUAUGGGACAGCCCGUCGAAAGGCGGAUUAAUACCGUAUGUUGUCAUGUUGAUGCAUAUUUUCAUGACCAAAGGCUUCGGCCGGUAAAGGAUGGGGAUGCGUCUGAUUAGCUAGUUGGCGGGGUAACGGCCCACCGGGGCGACGAUCAGUAGGGGUUCUGAGAGGAAGGUCCCCCACAUUGGAACUGAGACACGGUCCAAACUCCUACGGAAGGCAGCAG